UCCACGCCUGUGUGAGCUCUGAGCGGCUGUGCAUUGGGCUGGAGUUUCUGGAUCAGAGGAGCGAUCCUGCCCGGGUGCCACCAUCGCCCAGAGGCGCCACCAACACCUGAGCACCGUCCUCACCAGCCCCCUCAGCCCCUGGAACCUUCACCAUCAAAGUCUGCCUCUACUUCACCAAGACCUAGAACACUCACCUGGGGGCCACCAGCCUCCACCUAACUGUCCCCUGGGGGCCACCAGCCUGCACCUAACUAUAGUCCCCUGGGGGCCACCAGCCUCCACCUAACUGUCCCCUGGGGGCCACCAGCCUGCACCUAACAGUCCCCUGGGGGCCACCAGCCUUUACCUAACUGUCCCCUGGGGGCCACCAGCCUCCACCUAACUAUAGUCCCCUGGGGGCCACCAGCCUCCACCUAACAGUCCCCUGGGGGCCACCAGCCUUCACCUAACUAUAGUCCCCUGGGGGCCACCAGCCUUCACCUAACUGUCCCCUGGGGGCCACCAGCCUCCACCUAGCACCUUCCAGACUCUCCUGAGCCCUCAGAAGCAGGUGAACAUGUCUGUGGGACACCUGAGACCCCUUACAAUCCUGGCCUUAGGUCCAUCUCCCCAUCCCUCCCUGGUGCCCUCUGGUGUCAUCUCUGCAGUUUCUGCCCCUGUGCCCUUGGGAAGGCUGUUCCCUCUGUCUGGCUUGCCCCUUCCUUCCCUUGGUUUGCUCAGGAAGCCCUGGCCAGGCUCACAGUUUCCUCCAAAGCCCUCUCUGGUGCCUGCCCCAAGCGUGUGGCCUGGUUUUUAACUGGCCUGAGUUGGAGAUGCCAUUAAAGUCCUGGUGAGUGCGCAUGCUCCAUAGAGCCCAGAAGGGGCGCUUCCAAGCCCUAGGCCAAGGGCGGAGCUGGGGGAGGAGCUUGCUGUAGCCCCGCCCUCUUCAUCAUUCCAGGGUACCAGCCUAGCUGAGCCUCCCCUCCACAAAGGGGCUGCAAAGCACCAGCCAACAGCAGGUGGAGCCUCUGGUCCCAGGCUGUGUUCUGAGACUCAGUGGACCCAAACAACAAAGGUGGAAGUGAUCGUGGACCUAGCUGACUUCCGGAACUCCGCCUUAGCACCCUGCCCAGCUGCCAUGGGAACACAGGAGUCCCCCAUACACAAGGGGUGUGUUCAGAUUCCCUCUACGGAGGCUUGAAAGUGGGGAUACUGGCCUUGUGUGCACAGUGAUGGUUGGUCAUCAUAGUAACCGGGCUGGAUUUGGAGUCACCUAGGAGACACUGUGGAUGCCUGUGGGUGGGUUCCCGGGAGGGGAGAUCUGCCCUUACUGUGGGCUGCACCAUCCCUGGGCGUGGGUCCUGGGCCGGGUCAACAGGAAAAUCAAACAGAGCGAGCAUCGGCAUCAUCUCCCUCUGCUUUUCUGGCUGUGAUGCCAUGUGGGCAGCCGCCUCGUGCCCUCCCUCCCACGUUACUCUGUGCCCCGGAACUGCAAGCCACAGCCACGACAGGCCACCUUCCUUCAGCUGCCUUUGACAAAGUGUUUUGUGUCAGCAAUGAAACAAGUGGGGAGGGGCCUAGACGCUCGCCAGGACCCGGGGGUCUCACAGCGUAGGGCUCUGAGCGCCACGUUUUUGCUUUUUGUUGUGUUUCUGGAACUUUGUUUUCCAGGGAGCUCUUCCGACUGAUGUGAAGAUGCUGUCUUCCUGGAGGGCCACAAGGCUUUUGUGCGGUAACUGCUCUGUGUGGAGUCCGAGAAGGCGGCCAGGGUUUGACGAGUCGAACAUGUUUUAUCCUUUUACUCUAGAGUUGAACCGGAUGCAGAGCUGGCUAAUUUUAUGUCAACUCCACACCAGUUGGAGUCAUCAAAGAGGAGGGAAUUGCAACUGAGAAAAUGCCUCCAUGAGAUCCAGCUUUGCUUUUGGCCAUGGUUUCAUCACAGCAAUAGUGACCCCGACUGGGACAGAUGUACUUUGGAGAAGGCUGCACUUCUAUAAGCGUCCUUCGGGAAUGUGGGCUCAUCUGUAUCGUUCUUGGAAGUGGUCGGGCCACCCUGACUCUCAGCAGGGAGUCAUCUACUCAUCCAACUGGCUCCACGCUCCAAGCAUCUCUUUCAAAACAUGUCAGAUUCCUCAACCACACCUCACAGACUGUCUCCAGCUCCUCCCACCUCUGACCUGGACACACCCCUUGGCAAUGGGAAGACAAAGCUAAGUCCAGUACCCAGGUCUGACAGUGUUAAUUCUUUCACCUGGACACCCUCCCCCUCAGUGUGGCUUGAACAAGAAUUGGGGUGUUCUCUUCCGAUUCACAUUUAGUUUUCUUACAACAGGAUUCUGUUCCUUUUAUCUCUGUGUGCUUUUUUUUUUUUUAAAUUCUGUAGAUGUAAAUCCAUCUACACUGUGUGCCAUUUAAAAGGCCUAAACACAAGAUUAUACUUAUCCCUUGUAAAUGUCACUGCCUUGGAUUUGCCUCCUGACUUCUUCUGUGUUCCUGUUCUGCUGUCUUUCAUAUGUUCAGCUCCUAAAUGGACUCUGCCUACACCACACAGUGUUGCACGCGACCUUUGACGUGGUAGUGUGUGUUCAUGCUACCCGGUAACUCCCCUACUAACCAGAAUUUUCUCUUGUAAAUCCCCCUCUUCAGUCCUCAGGAAAUGUUACUAGACUUGACUCUACCUCCCUUCCAUGAUGAGCACGUGACCAAGGUCUGGCCAAUGGGAUGUGGUACCCACUUCCCAUCCCUAAUUGGGGAGACACCUAUAGACAUCCCUGGGACUUGUCCCCUGGGGGAAUCUGGGGGUCUCCAGGAGAGAAGCACUGCUGUUCUGUCCAAGUGUGCUGCAGAGAGGGUGGAAGUGUGGCACUCCUGGUGGGGUCACACCCAGGAGUCCUGGGGUGGGCAGGGGUAUCCCAAAGGAGGUAGAAGUCCCUUAGCCAGUCUGUGGAGGCUCUUAGGUGAUUGUGCCCCCCACCCCAGCACUGUGUGAGCGGGGUAUGGGGGUGCUGAGAUCUCACUGUUGGAGAAAAAUGCAGUUGGUUUCAAUGCAUUUGUACAAUAAACCCAAGAGUCACCAAUAAUGUUAAGGGAAGACAUCAAAGCACUUCCUCCUGAGGUCAUUUGACCGAGAUUGAGCCCAGAUUGUAGAAUUCUCUGCCUCUCUUUCCCUGGGUUUUCCUUCUGUCCCCUGCCUGCCCUGUGAAUCUGUCCCUGUCCCUGUGUGUCUACAAAUCUGUCUGUGUGUCUGUCCCUCAGGCUGUCUUGUGAAUCUGUCUCUGGGUCUGUGUCUGUGUGUAUGCGAAUCUGUCUGUGUGUCUGUCCCUCACGAAGGGAUUCGCUCUGUCUUUAUCGAACAGCAAAGCAAGCAUCACAUGGUGAAGGAAUGGGAUGCUUUACAGAAAUCUUCAGCAGAGUUUUACAAGGGAUUAAGUCACUGGGUCCAACAGAUCCCAACUGACCCAGAUAGCAAAUAUCACUGUUUAUCAACUGAUAAUCCAAGUGUUGUGUUUAACGUUUAUGGCGGAUAUUCAUUUUAGGAGGUUUCUUUCAGCCUCUAUUUUUGCCGCUUUCAGCAAAUUGCUUCUUUGAACUUGGAUGCAUUACUCUGGGUCAGGGCCAUGGAAAGAGCGCAUAAUUUAAGAUUACAGCUUCCCAUUAGCUCAGGCUGUAAAAGUUGAUUACACGGGAAAUCCAAGGCAAGUAAGGUUGGCUGUUCCAGUGUUCUCAUAAAGGCAGAUUAAAAAGACAGGCUGCAGACACAGUAGGGCAGCGGUCUUAAGUCUUAUGUGACCUCUGGGGGUCACACUAACUCGGCUGUGAGGCCCAGCAAAAGUUCCGGCCUCUUAGCUUGUAAGAGAUAUAGAUUUUUUUUUAUUAUAAUGAAGCUGCCACAGAAAAACUGGAGAGGUUGAGGCAGAGGGGUCAGAAGUUCAAGGUCAUCGGGCUACGUGGUGACUCUAAGACACCGGAGAAGAAAACAAUCAAACUCACUCUCCCUCCUUUCUGAAAUUUUUCUCUUUGGAUCUUCUGAUUCCUUUGCUUCCAAAGAUUGAGGGGUCUGUUUCCAGGGCGCCUGUGGCUAUUCCAUUUGGAUUCUAAAGUUUAAA
Molecule: long non-coding RNA, 4085 nt
Organism: Peromyscus eremicus (cactus mouse)
Lineage: Eukaryota; Metazoa; Chordata; Mammalia; Rodentia; Cricetidae
Exons: 3
Source: RefSeq, a predicted model, not a curated record